Molecule: long non-coding RNA, 1489 nt
Filed under: Apteryx rowi (Okarito brown kiwi)
Lineage: Eukaryota; Metazoa; Chordata; Aves; Apterygiformes; Apterygidae
Description: lncRNA (ENSARWG00000017044.1)
Source: RNAcentral
GUCUCUGCGUCCCCUCGCCGCCCCCAGCUGCCCCCUCCCCACCCCACCCCCCCCGUACCUGUGGGGCCGGGCGGGGGGCCGGGGGGCUCUGGAGCCGGCGGCCGUUGGCGUGGGGAAGGAGCGAGCGCGCCCGAGGGCAGGAAGCGGGGAGCCGUGUCGGAGGAGGGCAGGAAGCGCCCCGCCCGGCUGGGGCGGGGCCGGUCCCCGGGCAGCCCCGCCGGGGGCAGCAGCGGCUUCGGGGCUCCCCACGAGUCCUGGGAGACGCCGGUGGUCUCCAGGCCCCCCCAGAGGCCCUCGGAGACGCCGUUGGUUCGGGGGCAGCGGGGAGGACUUCUCCAGAAGUCCUGGGCCAUCCUGGUGGUUUCAAGGCUCCCCGUAGGUCCUAGGCCCUCCUGGCGGUUUCAGGGCUCUCCGUGAGUCCUGGGAGGUCCUGGUGGUUUCGAGGCUCCCCCUAGGUCCUAGGCCCUCCUGGCGGUUUCAGGGCUCUCCGUGAGUCCUGGGAGGUCCUGGUGGUUUCUAGGUUCCCCAUAGGUCCUCAGACUUGUUAGCAGUUUCAAGAUCCUCCCCCCCAUAAAUCCUGGGAAGUCCCAAUUGUUUUGGUUUCCCCCAUUCAAAGAAGGUGCCGGCGGUUUCGGGGACCGCCACAAGUCCUGGGAGACACUGGUGGUUUCAGGGAUCCCCGUUGGUCUGAGAACCUUCUGGUGGUUUCGAGGCUCCCCACAGAUUUCCAGAGGUGCCGGUGGUGUCGAGCUGUCCGGGCCGUGAGGGCGCUAAGGGGCUGUUGAGGCUCGUGACCAGCCCCACCUGGGACCCCCCAGGUCUCCAACAUGUCCAUGUCCACAUCCGUGUCCGUGCCUGGCCUGAAGUCCUGGGAGGUCCCGGAGGUUUCGGGCCCCCCGCUAAAGUCCAGGGAGAUGCUGGCGGUUUCGGGGUUCCCCAAAAGUCCUGGGAGAUCUCAGAGAUUUCAGGCCCCCACUAAAGUCCAGGGAGAUGCUGGCGGUUUCGGGGCGCCCCAGAGGUCUUGGGAGAUGCUGGCGGUUUCGGGGCUCCGCAAAGGUCCUGGGAGGCCCCGGCGGUUUCGGGGUGCCCCGUGGGGCAGGCAGCAGCGGGUCGGGGGUGGCGGUUUCGGGGCGCCCCGCGGUGCCCGGCUGGCAGUUUCGGGGCGCCACGCUACCCGCCGCGGCCCAGCCCGCCGCGGCGGAAGAAGUCGUCGAUGUCCUGGAGGGUGACGUGGGGCUGGGGGGGCCCCUCGGCGCCCCCCGGGGCCCCGGGCUCCUCCUCGCCCCAUGGCGGGGGGGCGGCGCGGGCGACCCACAGGUCGGGGGGGGCCGGGGGGCGGCCGCGCCGCAGCAGCCGCUGGCACAGCAGCCCCCCCGCCACCACGAAGGCCCCCCCCAGGGCCCCCAGCCCCACCAUGGCCCCCAGGCAGCGCCCGCAGGGGGGCGGCCGCCCCCAGGGCGACGCCGUGGGGCGCCCCACGGCCGCUGGG